UUGACCUCAAAUCAGGUAGGACUACCCGCUGAACUUAAGCAUAUCAAUAAGCGGAGGAAAAGAAACUAACAAGGAUUCCCCUAGUAACUGUGAGUGAAGCGGGAAGAGCUCAAAUUUAAAAUCUGGUGGUCCUCGCGGCCGUCCGAGUUGUAAUCUGGAGAAGCGUUUUCCGCGUCGGACCGUGUACAAGUCUUCUGGAAUGGAGCGUCGUAGAGGGUGAGAAUCCCGUCUCUGACACGGACCGCCGAUGCUUUUGUGAUACGCUCUCGAAGAGUCGAGUUGUUUGGGAAUGCAGCUCAAACGGGUGGUAAAUUCCAUCUAAAGCUAAAUAUUGGCGAGAGACCGAUAGCGAACAAGUACCGUGAGGGAAAGAUGAAAAGCACUUUGGAAGAG
RNAcentral lists this ribosomal RNA (393 nucleotides) under uncultured Tylospora. Its description in RNAcentral is "eukaryotic LSU rRNA". It matches the Rfam family "Eukaryotic large subunit ribosomal RNA", at positions 1 to 385 of the family's 3401-position model. The record is from RNAcentral. Lineage: Eukaryota; Fungi; Basidiomycota; Agaricomycetes; Atheliales; Atheliaceae.